CAGCAGCCGCGGUAAUACGGAGGGGGCUAGCGUUGUUCGGAAUUACUGGGCGUAAAGCGCACGUAGGCGGCUUGGUAAGUUAGAGGUGAAAGCCCGGAGCUCAACUCCGGAAUUGCCUUUAAGACUGCCGAGCUAGUAGGUGAGAGAGGUAAGUGGAAUUCUUGGUGUAGCAGUGAAAUGCGUGGAUAUCAAGAGGAACACUCGUGGCGAAGGCGAGCUACUGGACAACAUCUGACGCUGAGGCUCGAAGGCCAGGGUAGCGAAAGGGAUUAGAUACCCCUGUAGUCCCUGUCUCUUAUAC
RNAcentral lists this ribosomal RNA (301 nucleotides) under uncultured bacterium. Its description in RNAcentral is "partial 16S ribosomal RNA". It matches the Rfam family "Bacterial small subunit ribosomal RNA", at positions 509 to 807 of the family's 1533-position model. The record is from RNAcentral.